This is a long non-coding RNA of Gorilla gorilla gorilla (western lowland gorilla), 1538 nucleotides long. RefSeq lists it as uncharacterized. The record is from RefSeq and is a predicted model, not a curated record. Lineage: Eukaryota; Metazoa; Chordata; Mammalia; Primates; Hominidae. The transcript has 2 exons.
CCUGGAGGAGGCGGGGGUUGGAGUCCCGCCUACCCACUGGCACAAGCCAAGGGCUCAAACGCCCCCAACCCAGCCCGCAGAUCUCCUCGAAGCACCCGGUUCUCCUGGCCCGCCCAGUCCCACGGCGCUCGCCGCCUUCGCCCGCUUAGGACUGAGUCCGCAGCGCCGCCGCCUGGCGAGGGGCGGAGUUGCCACCACGUCUGCGCAGGCGGGAUGCAGCCUGGCCCGCGGCAUCCCGGGAGUUGUAGUCUCGACGCUUCGGGGCCGCCCCAGGGUCUGGUGGUCCCUGACGACGCGCAGUGAGGGUCCCGCCGCUCCCCCAGCAGUCGCCUCUCAAGUUCGCGGAACGCAGCUGACCGGCUCCCUCUGGACUGGGUGACACGACUGCUUCCAAGCAGUCGUUUGUAAACUGAGUUUCUGUAAAACAAUUUUAUUUUUCAUGUGUGACUGUAGCGGGGUAUGAUUUGAACUUUGUUUUCCGUCCCCCAGCCCGGAUUCUCUGUCUUCUCCUGUACAGCCGUUCCGUUUUCUUACCUUCUUACCUCGUCUCCGUCACCGAGGCCCUCAGCCCUGAACACAAGGACUGGGCAGUUUCCCUAUUGAUUCCUGAACCUGGAACUUAAGACAUCUUCCGAGGGCCCCCCUCGUCACACCCUCUAGCUGAUCGACUCACAAAUACCUGUGAUUUCUCUCCCCGUCUCCACCUCCAGUCACGAGUUCUGACUAAUUCUGUGGGGGAAAGACCAACAGACAGGAGCCAGCUGAAGAUGCUGAACCUCUGAUGUCUUCACUUAUUGCCCAAUUCCUCCUUGAGCCACCCUCCUCUGACUUAAAUGUACUGUCAUGCCAUUUGGCCUAAGCUAUUUCUACUUAAUGUGUGAGUUAAUCAGAUCCCUUGUCUAGCUUAUAAAUUUCUAGAAUCAUAUAGCCAAAAGGAGGCUGACAGAUCUGGCCCAAAGUUACACCCACUGCAGGAACUGCCCUAUGAUUUCUUCUUGAACACUUCCAGAAGCUGAACCUCUCCUUGGAGGACCUCACUACCUUUCCAAGGACUCUCUUCCAAUCUUUCUGAUUGAUAGAACUUUUAAAAUUUGGAACCAAAGUCGGCUUCCUUGUUACUUGUCUCACUGGUUCUGUCGAUACUGGUCUGACAGCCCUGGAGGAAUUGGGAACCAGUCCUUACAAAUAACCUAGGUCUUUUUUUUUUUUUUUUUGAGACAGAGUUUCACUCUUGUUGCCCAGGCUGGAGUACAGCGGUGUGAUCUUGGCUCACUUCAACCUCCACCCCAACCCUGGUUUCAAGCGAUUCUCCUGCCUCAGCCUCCAGAGUAGUUGGGACUACAGGCACUCGCCACCAUGCCUGGCUAAUUUUUUGUAUUUUUAGUAGAGAUGGGGUUUCACCAUGUUGGCCAGGAUGGUCUCAAACUCCUGACCUCAUGAUCCACCCACCUUGGCCUCCCAAAGUGUUGGGAUUACAGGCAUGAGCCACCAUGCCUGGCCUUUCUUUCUUUUUUUUUUUUUCCUUUUCAGGAGAAGCU